This 726-nucleotide long non-coding RNA is filed under the name Rattus norvegicus (Norway rat). Its description in RNAcentral is "long non-coding RNA NONRATT032769". The record is from RNAcentral. Lineage: Eukaryota; Metazoa; Chordata; Mammalia; Rodentia; Muridae.
UGGAAUUCAAAAGAGAGAAUUCUAUGGUUCUGAGCCACCAUGUAGAUGCUGUGAACCAAACCAGAGUCAUCUGUAAGAACAUGUUUUUGUUUGUUUUGGCUUUUUGUUUGUUUUGAGAUAGAGUUUCUCUGUAUAAGAGUUCUGGCUGUUCUGGAACUCAUUUUGUAGACCUGACUGGCCUCGAGCUCACACAGCUUUUCCCCCGAAGCACUAAGAUUAAAGGCGUACACCACCACGUUCUGCUGCAACAAGCACUCUUAACUGCUGAGCCGUCUCUCCAGCCCUCAAAGGACACAUUUUUUGAGACAGACAGAAACACAGAUCAACUAUAAUAGGUGACAUUUGACAAGAACAUUGUAUGGCAAAGCUCUCGAGACUGGAGAGAUGUGUUUGAUGCCAGAACAACUGUGUUUAUGAAUAAGAUACUGACAGAAGUCCACCUGAGAGGCACUGACAAAGAGAAGCGGAACUCAGAAAAAGGAAAUACUUUCCAAGAAGCGCCAGGUGAACCAACCAGAGGAACCCACGCCCUUCCCAACCACUUGCAAGUCAAGGAAACACGGAAGGCUCAAGAAUUUCACCGUCGGAGUCCCGUCGUCACUCCCGAGGCGCCCAGUGGACAGAAGUGGGGUGUGGGGUCUCCGUGGACCCUACGUGGCAUCGCCACCGCUGCAAGGCUUUGUGCGGGGAAGGCAGAGGCUGCGGGAGGUUGCGGGAGGCUGCGGG